CACACACACUUGCGGAGCAACAAGCCUCUUUGUGGGGGGGAAAAAAAAAACCUUUAUCUGCGUUUCGGUUCUUGCGGAGGCGCUGCCUUUUAAGGAAAGAUGAGCAGCAUGUAUAAGGAAGAGCAGGACGACUGGAUAACGGUCUGUCUCAAGUACCUCCUUUUCAUAUUCAACUUCCUUUUCUGGAUGGGUGGUGGGGUGGUGAUGGGUGUCGGGAUCUGGACGCUGGUCGACAAAGGAGACUACCUGAGUCUUCUGGCCUCCAGUACAUUCGCUGUGUCCGCCUACAUUCUGAUUCUGGCGGGGGGACUGGUCAUGGUCACUGGCUUCCUGGGCUGCUUUGCUGUCAUUCGAGAGCAGAGGAGCUGUCUGUCCACGUACUUCUCGUGUCUGCUUCUGAUCUUUCUUAUUGAGUUGGUGGCUGGUGUUCUGGCCUAUGUGUAUUACCAAACGCUGAGUGAAGAGCUGAAACAGCACCUUAGUAAGACGAUGACAGAGAACUACGCUCAGCCUGGGAAAGACAGCAUCACUCAGUCUGUGGACAGACUACAGCAGGAUUUCAAAUGCUGUGGGAGCAACAACUCUUAUGAUUGGACAAACAGUGUGUAUAUCAAAUCCCCGGAGGCGGAGACAAGGUUGGUCCCUGAUAGCUGCUGUAAGACCAUGACUCCUCAGUGCGGGAAGAGGGACCACCCAUCAAACAUUUACAAAGUGGAGGGUGGCUGUAUAACUAAGCUGGAGCAGUUCCUGGCAGAUCACUUGCUCAUCAUUGGGGCUGUGGGGAUAGGAGUGGCCUGUUUGCAGCUAGCAGGAGCAGUGCUGACUGCCUGCUUUAUUUAUCUGCUCUAUAAAGAAGAGGAAGAGGACUUCUCUGACGUUUGAUUGGCUAGUACCACUUUUUGACUCCUGAACAGAUGAGGACAAGGUUGCCUGUAUUUGUUCAUAUGUCUGUAUGUGUGGAAUGGUGUUCACAUGUUGCCUGCACAGACGAAUUAAACUGGACCCAUACUGACCAUUCAACAUCUUUAUACCUUUCCUGAAACUUCAACACACACAAACGUGACCUUGCUACUGUGCCCACCUUUAACUGCAUGAGGCUUUACUACCGUAAACAAUAACUGUAAGGGCUUUCUUUUAGCAUUUGCCAUUUUUCCAAAGGGGUAUCGGGACAGCCAAAUAUCCAGGCAAGUGCUAUAUAGUCUUUACUGAGACUUUACUGAGAUUUUUGGUAUUACCUCCUUAUGAUGCUAAUGCUCUUUAUAAAGUUGUGGCAUAAUGACCUAGCAAUGUAGAUAUAAAGGAAACAUUCAGAAAAUGCCUUGAAGAUACCUGCAGUCAUGCAGAUAUAAAAGAAGCAUUCAGUAAAGGCCUUUUAUUUUUUACCUUUGUGUAAAUUAUAAUGUAUAUCCACUGAAUGUUUUUUUUUUUUUUUUUUUUUGACCAACCAUGUAUUUGCUUUGAUUUGGUUAUGUUAAAUGUACUCUAUGUAAUGUUCUGCUACUGUAGAUAUCAGACAGGUGUUGGAACCUGCUUAUAGGGACUAAGAAGUACACUGGACCAAUCAAUCAAAAUAUCAUUCAUGAAUAUAUUAUCCCCGCCAAAAAAAAAAAAAAAAAGAAGAAGAAGAAGAAGAAGAAGAAGAAGAAGAAGAAGAAAAAAAGUAUAUAAUAAAUUAAUGACCAGGUCUUGUUGUAGUGCAAAAGGUGACCAUAUUCUGGAAUAUUGUGGAAAAAUGCUACACACCAUCACAGCUUUCCUACAUGUCCAAGAAAGUCCACAGUCCCUUAACUUUUGGCUUAACAGGUAACAUGUUUCAAUGGAUUUAUAUUUUAAAGUUAUAUUAGACACAUAGAAUAUGAUAAAUAUCUUUUGUCUUAAAUCAGUGGAUCAGUUCUGUAGUCUUUCCUGUUCUUGAAUAUCAUAAGAGUUUUAUUUGCAAAUUCUAAUUAAUGUAGUGCAAAUUCUGCCAACUUGUUAUCACACUUUAUGUCUGAUUUCUGAUAUUAAAUUUAGAUGUGCUGCAUCUUAAUGAUAUUUAGUUGCAGUGCAAAUUUACCUUUAUAUCCCUUUGAGAACUGAUGGAAAUAUACUGAUGGACUACAGACUCACGAAAGUGCUUUUUAAAGGCCUAACAAUUUUCUCAGCCAGGAUGACUGACUAUUAUUCUUACAGAUUAGAGCUUUCAGUGAACUCCCGUUUAGGGUCAUGUCAUGAAUUUUUUUCAUUGACUGAAGGAAAAAAUUAGCACUAUUGCAUUGUCUAACAAAUCACAGCUGCAAACUCUUCAUGUAGUUGCCACAGCAACAUCAGCCUUGUUGAAAUUCAUUGUCAUUUGGAGGAAAAGUGGCUGUAAUCAUUUUGCUUCAUGCUGACGACAGAUUAUUCUUAUAUUUAAAAUGUCAGUAAAAGCAUUGUGUGCAAGAAUCACUCAACUGAGCUGCAAGAAAGUCUGUUGGUUGUGACUUAUAUGCAUUUUCCCAUUCCAUUAGUUAUGAUAAAAUAGCUGUUAUAUGCAGUCUUUUAUUAGAGCACAGUUACAUAUUUGUAGAUUGAAUGUCUAUGUAUUUUCAUAAUGUUUAAUCACCAGUCGCUCUGAUUAAAAUGGAAGUUCACUUCAUAAAUUCUUUGCCUUAAGACUAUUGCAUCCUUUUGAGGGCAGUAGAAGAAUUCGCUUCAAAAUGUCACUUUGUUUGAUGUAUGUUUGUAGAAACUGUGUGUCUUAAUAAACUUGAAUUUUCUUGA
Myxocyprinus asiaticus (Chinese sucker) is the source of this 2742-nucleotide RNA transcript. It is a transcript of the gene named tetraspanin-11-like, with no coding region annotated. The transcript is spliced from 9 exons. Lineage: Eukaryota; Metazoa; Chordata; Actinopteri; Cypriniformes; Catostomidae. The record is from RefSeq and is a predicted model, not a curated record.